This 770-nucleotide ribosomal RNA is filed under the name uncultured bacterium. Its description in RNAcentral is "bacterial SSU rRNA". It matches the Rfam family "Bacterial small subunit ribosomal RNA", at positions 72 to 859 of the family's 1533-position model. The record is from RNAcentral.
UGAACCUAGUGAUGUAUGGAUUAGUGGCGGACGGGUGAGUAACGCGUGGAUAACCUGCCGUAUACAGGGGGAUAACACUUAGAAAUAGGUGCUAAUACCGCAUAAGCGCACGGUUCCGCAUGGAACAGUGUGAAAAACUCCGGUGGUAUACGAUGGAUCCGCGUCUGAUUAGCCAGUUGGCGGGGUAACGGCCCACCAAAGCGACGAUCAGUAGCCGGCCUGAGAGGGUGAACGGCCACAUUGGGACUGAGACACGGCCCAAACUCCUACGGGAGGCAGCAGUGGGGAAUAUUGCACAAUGGGGGAAACCCUGAUGCAGCGACGCCGCGUGAGUGAAGAAGUAUCUCGGUACGUAAAGCUCUAUCAGCAGGGAAGAAAAUGACGGUACCUGACUAAGAAGCCCCGGCUAACUACGUGCCAGCAGCCGCGGUAAUACGUAGGGGGCAAGCGUUAUCCGGAUUUACUGGGUGUAAAGGGAGCGUAGACGGCAGCGCAAGUCUGGAGUGAAAUGCCGGGGCUCAACCCCGGAACUGCUUUGGAAACUGUGCAGCUCGAGUGCAGGAGAGGUAAGCGGAAUUCCUAGUGUAGCGGUGAAAUGCGUAGAUAUUAGGAGGAACACCAGUGGCGAAGGCGGCUUACUGGACUGUAACUGACGUUGAGGCUCGAAAGCGUGGGGAGCAAACAGGAUUAGAUACCCUGGUAGUCCACGCCGUAAACGAUGAUUACUAGGUGUCGGGGGGCCAAGGCCCUCCGGUGCCGCCGCAAACGCA